CGGGAUGUGGCUCAGUUUGGCUAGAGCGCAGCGUUCGGGACGCUGAGGCCGGAGGUUCGAAUCCUCUCAUCCCGA
This 75-nucleotide transfer RNA is filed under the name Nitratidesulfovibrio vulgaris str. Hildenborough. RNAcentral's name for it is "Desulfovibrio vulgaris str. Hildenborough tRNA". It matches the Rfam family "tRNA". From Rfam's summary of the family: Transfer RNA (tRNA) molecules are approximately 80 nucleotides in length. Their secondary structure includes four short double-helical elements and three loops (D, anti-codon, and T loops). The record is from Rfam by way of RNAcentral. Lineage: Bacteria; Pseudomonadati; Thermodesulfobacteriota; Desulfovibrionia; Desulfovibrionales; Desulfovibrionaceae. RNAcentral also lists the same sequence under 1 other name.